GGAUCCAGACUUUGAUCCUGGCUCAGGACGAACGCUGGCGGCGUGCUUAACACAUGCAAGUCGAACGAGAGGAGAAGGAAGCUUGCUUCUUUCAAAUCUAGUGGCAAACGGGUGAGUAACACGUAAACAACCUGCCUUCAGGAUGGGGACAACAGACGGAAACGACUGCUAAUACCGAAUACGUUCCUUAGGUCGCAUGACUUUAGGAAGAAAGGGUGGCCUCUACUUGUAAGCUAUCGCCUGAAGAGGGGUUUGCGUCUGAUUAGGUAGUUGGUGAGGUAACGGCCCACCAAGCCGACGAUCAGUAGCCGGUCUGAGAGGAUGAACGGCCACACUGGAACUGAGACACGGUCCAGACUCCUACGGGAGGCAGCAGUGGGGAAUCUUCCGCAAUGGGCGAAAGCCUGACGGAGCAACGCCGCGUGAGUGAUGACGGCCUUCGGGUUGUAAAGCUCUGUGAUCGGGGACGAACGGUCAGCAGACGAAUACUCUGCUGAAGUGACGGUACCCGAAUAGCAAGCCACGGCUAACUACGUGCCAGCAGCCGCGGUAAUACGUAGGUGGCAAGCGUUGUCCGGAAUUAUUGGGCGUAAAGCGCGCGCAGGCGGCUUCUUAAGUCCAUCUUAAAAGUGCGGGGCUUAACCCCGUGAUGGGAUGGAAACUGAGAGGCUGGAGUAUCGGAGAGGAAAGUGGAAUUCCUAGUGUAGCGGUGAAAUGCGUAGAGAUUAGGAAGAACACCGGUGGCGAAGGCGACUUUCUGGACGACAACUGACGCUGAGGCGCGAAAGCGUGGGGAGCAAACAGGAUUAGAUACCCUGGUAGUCCACGCUGUAAACGAUGAAUACUAGGUGUAGGAGGUAUCGACCCCUUCUGUGCCGGAGCUAACACAAUAAGUAUUCCGCCUGGGAAGUACGAUCGCAAGAUUACAACUCAAAGGAAUUGACGG
This 946-nucleotide ribosomal RNA is filed under the name uncultured Bacillota bacterium. RNAcentral describes it as "bacterial SSU rRNA". It matches the Rfam family "Bacterial small subunit ribosomal RNA", at positions 1 to 916 of the family's 1533-position model. Lineage: Bacteria; Bacillati; Bacillota. The record is from RNAcentral.